RNAcentral lists this ribosomal RNA (253 nucleotides) under uncultured bacterium. RNAcentral's name for it is "partial 16S ribosomal RNA". It matches the Rfam family "Bacterial small subunit ribosomal RNA", at positions 524 to 776 of the family's 1533-position model. The record is from RNAcentral.
UACGUAGGGUGCGAGCGUUAAUCGGAAUUACUGGGCGUAAAGUGUGCGCAGGCGGCAGAGCAAGUCGAGUGUGAAAGCCCCGGGCUUAACUUGGGAAUUGCGCUCGAAACUACUUUGCUGGAGUGUGGCAGAGGAAGGUGGAAUUCCACGUGUAGCGGUGAAAUGCGUAGAGAUGUGGAGGAACACCAAUGGCGAAGGCAGCCUUCUGGGCCAACACUGACGCUCAUGCACGAAAGCGUGGGGGGCAAACAGG